GAUGAACGCUGGCGGCGUGCCUAAUACAUGCAAGUCGAACGAACAGACGAUGAGCUUGCGCCGCGGACGUGAGCGGCGGACGUGUGAGUAACACGUGUAUAACCUACCUAUAAUACGGGGAUAACUUCGGGAAACCGGAGAUAAUACCGUAGAAUAUAUUGAAGCGCGGGGGGCGAUGGUGAAAUACGGUGUUGCUGGCUCUUAUAGAUGGAUCUGGGCCGCAUUAGAUAGUUGGGAAGGUAACGGCUUACCAAGGCAACGAUGCGUAGACGACCUGAGAGAGUGAUAGGCGACACUGGAACUGAGCCACGGUCCAGACUCCUACGGGAGGCAGCAGACGCGAACCUGACGCAGUGGGCGAAAGCCUGACGGAGCAAGGCGGAGUCAGUGAUGAAGACCUUCGGAUCGUAAAACUCUGUUAUUAGGGAUGAACAAAUGUGUCAGGAACUAUGGCCGUAUUGACGGUAACUAAUAAGAAAGCACCGGCUAACUACGUG
This 497-nucleotide ribosomal RNA is filed under the name uncultured bacterium. RNAcentral describes it as "partial 16S ribosomal RNA". It matches the Rfam family "Bacterial small subunit ribosomal RNA", at positions 28 to 507 of the family's 1533-position model. The record is from RNAcentral.